RNAcentral lists this long non-coding RNA (574 nucleotides) under Cavia porcellus (domestic guinea pig). Its description in RNAcentral is "lncRNA (ENSCPOG00000039306.1)". The record is from RNAcentral. Lineage: Eukaryota; Metazoa; Chordata; Mammalia; Rodentia; Caviidae.
CCUAGACUCAUGCCAGGCUCUUCCACAGAUGGCGCUCAAGAUCCAGGAGGCCCAGUGUCUGCAGCAACAGUGACACCAGCUUCUGUCCCACUUGUGGCAGCAUGCAGAGGUCUGGUGUCAGCUGACCUCUCAGAAAGACACACAGCUCAAGUUCUGUUUCAUACAACAGCUCAUGGUGCAGCUGCUGUGUGAGGAGAAUCAGGCAAGAGGAGACCCAGGUAAUGGAGCUGUCCAGGUUCCUGCAUGGAGGACUCGGCUACCUCCAUGCCUUCUCCAUGUUCUCAUCCUACCCACCACAGCGUCUGGAAGCCACCAAGCAGCAGAAGCAGCAGUCAUCCCCGCUGAGCCUCCUCGUUCUGCGUUGGCAAGGCAACAUUAUUAAUGAAGAUUUCACCAGUGCCCAGGAAGCACUCACUUGACAGCAUCAGCAGCUGAGGGAACAGAAGCAGCCAUGCCAGUGCCUGGCUUGCCUGGCAACCCUGACCCAGGGUGAGCCUGAGGAGGUGCUGGCUCCAGCAGAGAGGAUGACUGCCUGUCUGGGCAAAGCCACCAGGCUCGAAAGCAGGCCAUGGCA